RNAcentral lists this ribosomal RNA (600 nucleotides) under uncultured Bacteroidales bacterium. Its description in RNAcentral is "bacterial SSU rRNA". It matches the Rfam family "Bacterial small subunit ribosomal RNA", at positions 65 to 654 of the family's 1533-position model. The record is from RNAcentral. Lineage: Bacteria; Pseudomonadati; Bacteroidota; Bacteroidia; Bacteroidales.
AGGGGCAGCAUGGUCUUAGCUUGCUAAGGCCGAUGGCGACCGGCGCACGGGUGAGUAACACGUAUCCAACCUGCCGUCUACUCUUGGACAGCCUUCUGAAAGGAAGAUUAAUACAAGAUGGCAUCAUGAGUCCACAUGUUCACAUGAUUAAAGGUAUUCCGGUAGACGAUGGGGAUGCGUUCCAUUAGAUAGUAGGCGGGGUAACGGCCCACCUAGUCUUCGAUGGAUAGGGGUUCUGAGAGGAAGGUCCCCCACAUUGGAACUGAGACACGGUCCAAACUCCUACGGGAGGCAGCAGUGAGGAAUAUUGGUCAAUGGGCGAGAGCCUGAACCAGCCAAGUAGCGUGAAGGAUGACUGCCCUAUGGGUUGUAAACUUCUUUUAUAAAGGAAUAAAGUCGGGUAUGCAUACCCGUUUGCAUGUACUUUAUGAAUAAGGAUCGGCUAACUCCGUGCCGGCAGCCGCGGUAAUACGGAGGAUCCGAGCGUUAUCCGGAUUUAUUGGGUUUAAAGGGAGCGUAGAUGGAUGUUUAAGUCAGUUGUGAAAGUUUGCGGCUCAACCGUAAAAUUGCAGUUGAUACUGGAUAUCUUGAGUGCAGUUG